Molecule: ribosomal RNA, 562 nt
Filed under: uncultured Alphaproteobacteria bacterium
Lineage: Bacteria; Pseudomonadati; Pseudomonadota; Alphaproteobacteria
Description: bacterial SSU rRNA
Rfam family: Bacterial small subunit ribosomal RNA
Source: RNAcentral
ACUCCUACGGGAGGCAGCAGUGGGGAAUAUUGGACAAUGGGGGCAACCCUGAUCCAGCAAUGCCGCGUGAGUGAUGAAGCCCUUCGGGGUGUAAAGCUCUUUCGACGGGAACGAUAAUGACGGUACCCGGAGAAGAAGCUGCGGCUAACUACGUGCCAGCAGCCGCGGUAAUACGUAGGCAGCAAGCGUUGUUCGGAAUUACUGGGCGUAAAGGGUGCGCAGGUGGCGGCGCGCGUGGGGGGUGAAAUCGCCCGGCUUAACUGGGCGGGGGCCUUCCAGACGGCGUGGCUUGAGCAGCGGAGGGGGACGUGGAAUUCCGGGUGGAGCGGUGAAAUGCGUAGAGAUCCGGAGGAACACCGACGGCGCAGGCAGCGUCCUGGCCGCUUGCUGACACUGAGGCACGAAAGCUGGGGGAGCAAACAGGAUUAGAUACCCUGGUAGUCCACGCCGUAAACGAUGAAUGCUAGACGCUGGUAGGUUUACCUAUCGGUGUCGCAGCUAACGCAUUAAGCAUUCCGCCUGGGGAGUACGGUCGCAAGAUUAAAACUUAAAGGAAUUGACG